GUCGAGAAUCUUUCACAAUGGGGGCAACCCUGAUGGAGCGACGCCGCGUGGAGGAUAAGGUCUUCGGAUUGUAAACUCCUGUCAUGCGUGAACAAGGUUGCUUGGUUAAUACCUGGGCAAAUUGAUGGUAACGCAAGAGGAAGAGACGGCUAACUCUGUGCCAGCAGCCGCGGUAAUACAGAGGUCUCAAGCGUUGUUCGGAAUCACUGGGCGUAAAGGGUGCGUAGGUGGCGUGGCAAGUCAGAUGUGAAAGCCCGGGGCUCAACCUCGGAACUGCAUCCGAUACUGCCAUGCUAGAGUACUGGAGGGGUGACUAGAAUUCUCGGUGUAGCAGUGAAAUGCGUAGAUAUCGAGAGGAAUACCAAAGGCGUAGGCAGGUCACUGGACAGUUACUGACACUGAGGCACGAAGGCCAGGGGAGCGAACGGGAUUAGAAACCCUAGUAGUCC
RNAcentral lists this ribosomal RNA (449 nucleotides) under uncultured bacterium. Its description in RNAcentral is "partial 16S ribosomal RNA". It matches the Rfam family "Bacterial small subunit ribosomal RNA", at positions 354 to 796 of the family's 1533-position model. The record is from RNAcentral.